Sciurus carolinensis (gray squirrel) is the source of this 391-nucleotide long non-coding RNA. RefSeq lists it as uncharacterized. NCBI's taxonomy places the organism in Eukaryota, Metazoa, Chordata, Mammalia, Rodentia, Sciuridae. The record is from RefSeq and is a predicted model, not a curated record. The transcript has 4 exons.
GCGCGCUUUCCUUGCUCAGCGCUCAGCUCCUUCCUCCCCGCCGGGGGUCCUGUGCUCGGGCGUCUCCGCUAACUCUGCGCAGCCUGUGCGCCCUACGAGCCCCGGAGGUCCCUCGGGAGGACGGCGGGUCACCCCGGAGGAAGCAAGGAGGAGCCACCUGGGCUGCAUGCACUGAGAGUGGUCCCCAAGGCUGGGAGUGUGCUCAGCCACCAAGCGCGGGUUCCUGGUGAACUGCGGUGACAGGCUGCUUCCCUGAGCUGGGUCCUGUGUCCUCCAUCAGAUCUGCUGCCAUUCAGUUCCAGUUUGUCCCCAAGCACGUGCUGUGAGAUCCCCAGGAAGGAUGUCUGGACUCCCCAGAAGGCAGGAAAUGAUGCAGUCACACUGUGAGUCC